UCGUGUGAAUCGAAUAUCGUCGGAAAUGCAAGUAAGCAAACAAACUGAGAUUCGAGAUCUCAGCUUGUGGAGAAAACAUACUCAUUUGUAAUGUGUCAGUGUGCUCAAUAGACGAAAUGUCUAGAAGUAAAAAAAAUUUAUCAUUGCUAAAACGUGAUAAUGAUGAAAUAGAUCAAUGGGUUGGAUUUAAGCAAUGGAAAAAUGAAACAAUAUGUAAAAGUGAAAAUAAAGCCCUUUCGUUAGUAGCUGAAGAAAACUUGGCAUGCAGCUCCAAAAUAAGGGAAAACAUUUCGAACUCUUCUUCGCAAGUUUCUCCUAGUAAAUCCUCGCAUGAACAAACUAUUAAUCUAGAUACGGAUGAUAAAGAUGUGUCUGAUACUGAAACUAUUCUACCCCAGACAGAUAGAAUUAUAUUUCAGAGUGAAAAAUUGGAAUCUAGCUAUAAUAACUUUCCAAACACGAAUAAUGGUUUUGAAUAUGCUCCUAAUGCAAACUGUUCAUCAGGAAUCAUCCAGAUAUUAAUUAUUCAACUUUUAAUGCGUCUUCUGUAAAUGAUGACUACUGUUUAUCUGACAGUGAAAUUAUUAUCGAUCGCUAUUUCGCAAAGAAUAAUGAGAACAAAGAGAAAACAAUAAUUAAUACUAAAAUUACUGAUGGCAACUUUAACAAACAAAAUACGCAAUAUCGAGGAAUAUUACACCAAAAUGUUCCUAAAUUAAAAUCAUCGAUAAAUAUGUAAUUUGUUGAAUAACUUAUAUUAAGAUAAAUUAUUUAUGCUUAAUUUUAGAUUUUCAGUCAUGAAAUUGAUAUAAGUCGUAGAAAAAACAGAAUAUGGGAUAAAAAAGAUCUGUGUCCUUAUUGCAAUAUCGGUGUUACUAAUUUUUCAAGGCACCUCCUUAGAAAUCAUUCCAAUGAAGCUAGUGUAAAGACUAUUUUAAGUUUUAAAAAGGGCACAACUCAAAGAAAACAUCUUAUCAAUUUAUUAAGAAAACAAGGAAAUUUUUCCGUAUACAAUGAAAAUAUAAUAAGACCUGUCCAGAGACCAACAUCGUCAGACGCCGAAAAACAACUAUUAUUCUUACCAUGUAUUUUUUGUAAAGGAAUGUAUCGAAAAAAUAGUUUAAAUAGACAUAUAAAGACUUGCAAUUAUAAUAACAAAAAAAAUUGCUCCAGUACAAGAUAUACCAGCGAAGGCCAAACACUAGUUGCUUUUAACGAAACUAGAACACCAUUUUUAAACAGACUUAGGCUUAAAUCAGAGGUAUUUAGUAUUAUGCGUGCCGAUAAAAUAUCAUUACUGGGAAAAGUGAUCCACUUAUAUGCCAAUAUGCAGAAGAUUAUUUAAAAAAACAUAAAAGACCGCACAUCAAAAAUUUAGUAAGCAAUAAAAUAAGAGAAUUAGGACGACUUUUAAUUAGCCUGCAGGAAAAUUAUAACAUUAAUUCUAUAUUGGAAAGUUUAAAUCCAGAAAAUUUUGAUAAAGUUGUUUCAUGUGUUCGGUUAAUUUCAGGUUAUACGGAAUCCUCUAAAGAAUUUCAAGCUCCUUCAUUAGCAUUACAUUUUCGAAUAAUUUUACUUAGUAUUUGCUCCACUGCUGAAACCUUAAUUUUAAAAAGAGAUCCAAUUUUACCAAUAGAAAACUAUGAAAUUUCAUUAAAACGAAUAAAAAAUGUUAGUAAACUUGUAAGUCAUAAUUGGAAAUUUGAAAUGGGAAGUUUGGCCCUUAAAGACUUAAGUGAAAAAAAUUCCCUGAAUCCUCAAAGGCUUCCAGUCACUGCAGAUGUAAUAAUAUUCAACACUUAUUGCUAUGAAUCAGCUGAAAAAGCAGCAGCAGAGGUCCAAAAUAAUAUAACCAAUAUUGAAGCUUUUAAAACAUUAUCAGAAACGAUCUUGGCUCUAACAAUAUCUCUAAAUCAUAAAAGAAUUGGUGAUGUACAAUAUAUGAAACUUCCAUCAUAUAAAUGUAGUACAAAUGUUCAGGAGGAAUGCUUAGAUAUAUUAUCAGAAACUGAAAAAAAUUAACAAAAUAUUUUAAAAGAAUAGUUACCAUUGGAAAAGGAAGUAAAGCAAUACCCAUAAUGUUUCCUACAAAAAUCCAAAAAUAUAUUGUUAUAUAUUUUUGGAUUUUUGGAAAAAUAUAUAAUGUUAAAUUUUAGAGAAAACACAAAAUGUGUACUAAGUGAAAAUCUCUAUUUAUUUGCUUUAGUAGGCAGUUCAAAUAGGUGGAUUAAUGGUGCUCGGACUUUAAGAAAAUAUGCUUAUUCAUGUGAAGCACAGUACCCUAAUACCAUAACAUCAUCUCGUUUACGGAAACAGAUAGCUACAGUGUUACAAAUUCUAAGUCUAGAUAAUGUCGAAAUGGACCAAUCGGCCACGUUUAUGAGACACACGAAAAAAACUCAUGAAGAAUUUUACAGGUUUGACAAUUUAUGCUUAAUAUUUAUAAUUAUUUUUAUUUAAAUUUUUUAGUAAACUGCAAUAAUAAAUACUAUUAACAAACUUUAUAUUAAAACUAUAAUAUUUUUUAAAUCAUUAGUUUAAAAUGUAAGUAAACAAUACGUCAGAGUAUAUUAAUUAAUUUAUAAUAUUGCUUUAAAGAAAAUAAUUAGAUAGACACAUUAUAUGCAAUUAAAAGUAAAUACCAAUAUUUAGAUUGCCUCAAGAAAUAUUCCAAACUUCAAAAAUUGCUAAAUUACUUUUAAUGCUUAUGGAUCGGAGAAUUAGCAAAGAAGACCAAGAAAAAACUAUUCAAGAAAUUGAUGCUGUAAUGGAUAAAUGGGAAGAUAAUAUUGCCAGUAAUAUUUAAUUAUUCUAACCAUUAAAGAAAGUUUUUAGUUUAAAUUAAUAUUACAUUUAGAUUCACAAGUUCAUACACAAACUUCAUACACAGACAAAAAGAUUUAGCAACUUAAUGUUUACUUACACAUACACAUUAUUUAAAAU
Molecule: long non-coding RNA, 2943 nt
Filed under: Anthonomus grandis grandis
Lineage: Eukaryota; Metazoa; Arthropoda; Insecta; Coleoptera; Curculionidae
Description: uncharacterized LOC126743643
Source: RNAcentral